AACGCACAUUGCGCCCGCCAGCAUUCUGGCGGGCAUGCCUGUUCGAGCGUCAUUUCAACCAUCAAGCCCCCGUGGCUUGUGUUGGGGACCUGCGGCUGCUCCGCAGGCCCUGAAAUACAGUGGCGGGCUCGCUAGUCACACCGAGCGUAGUAGACAUUUUAUCUCGCUCAGGGCGUGCUGCGGGUUCCGGCCGUUAAACCCCCCACCUUCUAACCCAAGGUUGACCUCGGAUCAGGUAGGAAGACCCGCUGAACUUAA
RNAcentral lists this unclassified non-coding RNA (258 nucleotides) under uncultured Sordariales. RNAcentral's name for it is "sequence contains 5.8S rRNA gene, ITS2, 28S rRNA gene". The record is from RNAcentral. Lineage: Eukaryota; Fungi; Ascomycota; Sordariomycetes; Sordariales.